This is a long non-coding RNA of Syngnathoides biaculeatus (alligator pipefish), 1079 nucleotides long. RefSeq lists it as uncharacterized. The record is from RefSeq and is a predicted model, not a curated record. NCBI's taxonomy places the organism in Eukaryota, Metazoa, Chordata, Actinopteri, Syngnathiformes, Syngnathidae. The transcript is spliced from 3 exons.
CAAGAAGAGGCAGCAGGGUGAUGAAAGGCGGUGCAAGCAACUAGAUGAAAGGCACAUAAAAAAAUAAAUUGAGCAACAGGGUGAGAAUUAGUUUUGGAUGAUUGAUCAAAGAUUAUUGGAUGACGCAGAUGAGAAGACAAGAUUAGUGGGAGGAGGCAGCCGCUCCUCCAGCUGAGGACUUUUUCAAGAGUCGCCAGGAAUAAUGAACAAAGAGGCGAGAUAAGUGCGUGCGGCCAAGACGAACGUUGAAUCGCUGCGAAAAAACGCCAUGGAGAUAAGAGCACAUACGCUGCGUGAGGCUCUUUGAACUUCCCGAUGAUCUGAAUGUGGAACAUCAGAAGUGAAAAAAGUAUGCGCGCUAACCUCGUGGGUCAUGAAAGAGACCGCGUCACCUCAAAGCAAAGCACCAGUAAGGGUCGCAGGUUGUGCUAGAGCCUCUCCCAGCUGUCAACGGGCAGGAGGCAGGGUACACCCUGAACUGGUUGCCAGCCAAUUGUAGGACACACAGUUGCAUUCAAAAUCACAUCUAGGGGCAAUUUAGUCUGUCCAAUUAAUGUUGCAUGUUUUCCCGGAUGUGAGAGGAAACCGGAAAGCCCGGAGGAAACCCACGCAAACACCGCGAGAACAUGGAAACUCCACACAGGCGGGCCAGGGAUCGAACCCGGGACCUCAAAACUAUGAGGCCAACGCUUUCCAGCUGAACCACCGUGCCGCCAAGUUAAUUAAAUACAUUUUUUAAUGUAUUUAUAUUGUCUUUUACUCUAUUUUAUUUUUAUAGAGUACAAUACUAUUCGAAAUGUGUUUAUGUAGAACUUUAAGGGCUUAACAGAUUUUAAUGGGGAAACACGAUUUUCUACAUUAGCAAAUUAAACUCAUCUCGUAAGUCAAGGUACCACUGCAUUUGAUUAUAUUUAUUGUAAACAAUAAAUUUAAAGUUUUGUUUAUUUAAAUAAUUAUACGUAAUUAGUUAAUUAAAAUUCAACUAUCCAUCCAUCCAUUUUCGAUACUGCUAAUCCUCACUUGAGUCACGAUAAAUAAUACAACUAAAAGGACAAGAAAGAAUGAUUAGUCUACUAUGA